Molecule: long non-coding RNA, 384 nt
Filed under: Capsicum annuum
Lineage: Eukaryota; Viridiplantae; Streptophyta; Magnoliopsida; Solanales; Solanaceae
Description: long non-coding RNA (CANN_LNC010813)
Source: RNAcentral
GAAAAUUCAUUUACCACCGGAACAGCGUGAAGAGUUGGUGGCUCCGCUUUUGUAUCCCUUACUCUAACUAAAUGAUAUAUGUAUCCCUUGGAAAUCAUUCUUCUCGCCUUAAAAUAAGAAAUGAAUCUACCUCUUGGCGCGCUAAUUUCACCUUUCCAUUCAAGGACUAAUUCAUUUGGAAAAUGGAAAUAUACCUUUUUCGUACAGCAAUCAAUUGUGGCAUAACAAGACGCCAACCAGUCCAUACCCAUUAUAACAUCAAAAUCUACCAUUUCUAACUCCACACGAUCAGCCAUCGUAUCACGACCACAAACAGUUACUAUGCAGUUUCGGUAAACCCUUCUAGCUACAAUAGAUUCCCCGACUGGUGUGGACACUUCAAAU